CCGAUGGAGGGGGAUAACUACUGGAAACGGUAGCUAAUACCGCAUAACGUCGCAAGACCAAGAGGGGGACCUUAGGGCCUCUUGCCAUCGGAUGUGCCCAGAUGGGAUUAGCUAGUAGGUGGGGUAAAGGCUCACCUAGGCGACGAUCCCUAGCUGGUCUGAGAGGAUGACCAGCCACACUGGAACUGAGACACGGUCCAG
RNAcentral lists this ribosomal RNA (201 nucleotides) under uncultured bacterium. RNAcentral's name for it is "partial 16S ribosomal RNA". It matches the Rfam family "Bacterial small subunit ribosomal RNA", at positions 130 to 334 of the family's 1533-position model. The record is from RNAcentral.